UGAUUUGGCUGAUCUGGUUGGCUAGGCAGUUGUCCCUUCCCUCCCUCACUGCUCAAUGUGCAUCCCUCCCAAAGCUGUGCACUCAGUCAAAGGACAACCAUCCCCGAUAGAAGAGAAACAGUCUUCAGUCAAGGGUACACGAGUAGCUGCACUCCCCUUCUAGAACCUCCAAACAAGUUCUCAAGGUCCAAUAUGUAUAUGUUUUAAUAUGCUAGAUAUUAUGACUGAAUUGUUACAGUAUCUUUAUUCAUGUC
Molecule: small nuclear RNA, 254 nt
Filed under: Bos taurus (domestic cattle)
Lineage: Eukaryota; Metazoa; Chordata; Mammalia; Artiodactyla; Bovidae
Also listed under: 1 other name
Description: long non-coding RNA NONBTAT001469
Rfam family: 7SK RNA
About the family: 7SK was discovered as an abundant small nuclear RNA in the mid-70s but a possible function has only recently been suggested.
Source: RNAcentral